RNAcentral lists this ribosomal RNA (497 nucleotides) under uncultured bacterium. RNAcentral's name for it is "partial 16S ribosomal RNA". It matches the Rfam family "Bacterial small subunit ribosomal RNA", at positions 28 to 507 of the family's 1533-position model. The record is from RNAcentral.
GACGAACGCUGGCGGCGUGCCUAAUACAUGCAAGUUGAGCGCUGAAGGUUGGUACUUGUACCAACUGGAUGAGCAGCGAACGGGUGAGUAACGCGUGGGGAAUCUGCCUUUGAGCGGGGGACAACAUUUGGAAACGUAUGCUAAUACCGCAUAAAAACUUUAAACACAAGUUUUAAGUUUGAAAGAUGCAAUUGCAUCACUCAAAGAUGAUCCCGCGUUGUAUUAGCUAGUUGGUGAGGUAAAGGCUCACCAAGGCGAUGAUACAUAGCCGACCUGAGAGGGUGAUCGGCCACAUUGGGACUGAGACAAGGCCCAAACUCCUACGGGAGGCAGCAGUAGGGAAUCUUCGGCAAUGGACGAAAGUCUGACCGAGCAACGCCGCGUGAGUGAAGAAGGUUUUCGGAUCGUAAAACUCGGUUGGUAGAGAAGAACGUUGGUGAGAGUGGAAAGCUCAUCAAGUGACGGUAACUACCCAGAAAGGGACGGCUAACUACGUG